This 709-nucleotide ribosomal RNA is filed under the name Limosilactobacillus fermentum. RNAcentral's name for it is "bacterial SSU rRNA". It matches the Rfam family "Bacterial small subunit ribosomal RNA", at positions 181 to 873 of the family's 1533-position model. The record is from RNAcentral. Lineage: Bacteria; Bacillati; Bacillota; Bacilli; Lactobacillales; Lactobacillaceae.
GUUGUUCGCAUGAACAACGCUUAAAAGAUGGCUUCUCGCUAUCACUUCUGGAUGGACCUGCGGUGCAUUAGCUUGUUGGUGGGGUAANGGCCUACCAAGGCGAUGAUGCAUAGCCGAGUUGAGAGACUGAUCGGCCACAAUGGGACUGAGACACGGCCCAUACUCCUACGGGAGGCAGCAGUAGGGAAUCUUCCACAAUGGGCGCAAGCCUGAUGGAGCAACACCGCGUGAGUGAAGAAGGGUUUCGGCUCGUAAAGCUCUGUUGUUAAAGAAGAACACGUAUGAGAGUAACUGUUCAUACGUUGACGGUAUUUAACCAGAAAGUCACGGCUAACUACGUGCCAGCAGCCGCGGUAAUACGUAGGUGGCAAGCGUUAUCCGGAUUUAUUGGGCGUAAAGAGAGUGCAGGCGGUUUUCUAAGUCUGAUGUGAAAGCCUUCGGCUUAACCGGAGAAGUGCAUCGGAAACUGGAUAACUUGAGUGCAGAAGAGGGUAGUGGAACUCCAUGUGUAGCGGUGGAAUGCGUAGAUAUAUGGAAGAACACCAGUGGCGAAGGCGGCUACCUGGUCUGCAACUGACGCUGAGACUCGAAAGCAUGGGUAGCGAACAGGAUUAGAUACCCUGGUAGUCCAUGCCGUAAACGAUGAGUGCUAGGUGUUGGAAGGGUUUCCGCCCUUCAGUGCCGGAGCUAACGCAUUAAGCACUCCGCC